RNAcentral lists this ribosomal RNA (292 nucleotides) under uncultured bacterium. RNAcentral describes it as "partial 16S ribosomal RNA". It matches the Rfam family "Bacterial small subunit ribosomal RNA", at positions 505 to 796 of the family's 1533-position model. The record is from RNAcentral.
GUGCCAGCCGCCGCGGUAAGACGUAGGGGGCGAGCGUUGUCCGGAUUUAUUGGGCGUAAAGCGCGCGUAGGCGGUUCGUUAAGUCGGUUGUGAAAACCCGGGGCUCAACCCCGGGCCUGCGUCCGAUACUGGCGAACUCGAGGCAGGCAGGGGAGAGUGGAAUUCCCGGUGUAGCGGUGAAAUGCGCAGAUAUCGGGAGGAACACCGGUGGCGAAGGCGGCUCUCUGGGCCUGUCCUGACGCUCAGGCGCGAAAGCUAGGGGAGCAAACAGGAUUAGAUACCCUAGUAGUCC